RNAcentral lists this ribosomal RNA (204 nucleotides) under Chloropicon mariensis. RNAcentral's name for it is "partial Bacterial large subunit ribosomal RNA". It matches the Rfam family "Bacterial large subunit ribosomal RNA", at positions 320 to 519 of the family's 2925-position model. Lineage: Eukaryota; Viridiplantae; Chlorophyta; Chloropicophyceae; Chloropicales; Chloropicaceae. The record is from RNAcentral.
CCCUAUCGUUGAGCCGAAGACCGCUGGAACGGGUCACCGCAGGGGGUGAGAGUCCCGUAGGCGACCGAGGAUAGGGGGCUGUGAGCCCAGAUCGUGAGUACCGCCGGACACGAGACAUCCGGCGGGAAGCGGGGACGACCACGUCCCAAGGCUAAAUACCGCCAACGACCGAUAGUGCACCAGUACCGUGAGGGAACGGUGAAA